RNAcentral lists this long non-coding RNA (2360 nucleotides) under Citrus sinensis (sweet orange). RNAcentral describes it as "long non-coding RNA (CSIN_LNC000470)". The record is from RNAcentral. Lineage: Eukaryota; Viridiplantae; Streptophyta; Magnoliopsida; Sapindales; Rutaceae.
CCCAAAUCUCCGUCUGUCCCCGGUCACGGAUGCCCAGUUUUCUCCUUAUGUUGGUGGAAUGGCCUUCUCUCCUACUUCAUCACCCGGAUACAGCCCAUCAUCACCAGGCUACAGUCCGUCAUCUCCUGGAUACAGUCCCACGUCACCUGGAUACAGCCCAACUUCGCCUGGAUACAGUCCCACCUCGCCUGGAUAUAGCCCUACCUCACCAACUUAUAGUCCAAGUUCUCCUGGUUAUAGUCCAACCAGUCCUGCCUAUUCUCCUACCAGUCCAUCGUACUCACCUACUUCACCAAGCUAUAGCCCAACCUCCCCAAGUUACAGCCCAACAUCCCCAAGCUACAGCCCGACCUCUCCAAGUUACAGCCCCACUUCUCCCAGUUACAGUCCAACUUCACCAAGCUAUAGCCCCACCUCACCGGCAUAUAGCCCCACCUCACCUGCAUAUAGCCCCACCUCACCUGCAUACAGCCCCACUUCACCAUCGUACAGCCCAACCUCUCCUUCCUACAGCCCAACAUCACCUUCGUACAGCCCUACCUCACCGUCAUACAGCCCCACUUCUCCAUCGUACAGCCCCACUUCACCAGCCUAUAGCCCCACUUCUCCUGGUUAUAGUCCAACUUCACCAAGUUAUAGCCCAACUUCACCAACCUAUAGUCCUACAUCCCCAAGCUACAAUCCUCAGUCUGCCAAAUACAGUCCGUCGCUGGCCUACUCACCAAGUAGUCCAAGAUUAUCUCCUGCCAGUCCGUACAGCCCUACAUCUCCAAAUUACAGGUAAGCCAUAGUGCGAUAUGUGGUCAAGUCUAAUGUUUGUGUUAAAAGCUGUAUCCAAUUUAUUAGGUCUUGUUUUUGAUAGAAUUCUAUAUACUGAAAUAUCUGUUGAACCUAAGACUUGCUGUAGCUGGGGAUUGGACUUGGAUGGGUUUAAAUUAUUAAUGAUUUUAUCUCUGUUGUUUUUAACAUUAUUAUAUCUGGAUGAUUAUGUUGAUGUAUCUUGUAAGCAACUUUUCUUUUUACGCAGUCCAACAUCAUCUUCGUAUUCACCGACAUCUCCCUCUAUGAUACUGGACCAAUGAUGAGAUGUUCAUUUGAAGAAACGGUUGACAUUCUUCUUGAUGCUGCAGUCUUUGCAGAAUCAGAUUAUUUGAGGGGGGUCACUGAGAAUAUAAUGUUAGGUCAGCUUGCGCCUAUUGGGACAGGAGACUGUUCAUUGUAUCUCAAUGAUGAGAUGCUGAAAAAUGCCAUCGAACUUCAGCUUCCUAGUUAUAUGGAAGGUCUGGAGUUUGGCAUGACACCUGCUCGUUCUCCGGUGUCUGGGACUCCUUAUCAUGAUGGCAUGAUGUCUCCAGGUUACUUGUUUAGCCCAAAUCUCCGUCUGUCCCCGGUCACGGAUGCCCAGUUUUCUCCUUAUGUUGGUGGAAUGGCCUUCUCUCCUACUUCAUCACCCGGAUACAGCCCAUCAUCACCAGGCUACAGUCCGUCAUCUCCUGGAUACAGUCCCACGUCACCUGGAUACAGCCCAACUUCGCCUGGAUACAGUCCCACCUCGCCUGGAUAUAGCCCUACCUCACCAACUUAUAGUCCAAGUUCUCCUGGUUAUAGUCCAACCAGUCCUGCCUAUUCUCCUACCAGUCCAUCGUACUCACCUACUUCACCAAGCUAUAGCCCAACCUCCCCAAGUUACAGCCCAACAUCCCCAAGCUACAGCCCGACCUCUCCAAGUUACAGCCCCACUUCUCCCAGUUACAGUCCAACUUCACCAAGCUAUAGCCCCACCUCACCGGCAUAUAGCCCCACCUCACCUGCAUAUAGCCCCACCUCACCUGCAUACAGCCCCACUUCACCAUCGUACAGCCCAACCUCUCCUUCCUACAGCCCAACAUCACCUUCGUACAGCCCUACCUCACCGUCAUACAGCCCCACUUCUCCAUCGUACAGCCCCACUUCACCAGCCUAUAGCCCCACUUCUCCUGGUUAUAGUCCAACUUCACCAAGUUAUAGCCCAACUUCACCAACCUAUAGUCCUACAUCCCCAAGCUACAAUCCUCAGUCUGCCAAAUACAGUCCGUCGCUGGCCUACUCACCAAGUAGUCCAAGAUUAUCUCCUGCCAGUCCGUACAGCCCUACAUCUCCAAAUUACAGGUAAGCCAUAGUGCGAUAUGUGGUCAAGUCUAAUGUUUGUGUUAAAAGCUGUAUCCAAUUUAUUAGGUCUUGUUUUUGAUAGAAUUCUAUAUACUGAAAUAUCUGUUGAACCUAAGACUUGCUGUAGCUGGGGAUUGGACUUGGAUGGGUUUAAAUUAUUAAUGAUUUUAUCUCUGUUGUUUUUAACAUUAUUAUAUCUGGAUGAUUAUGUU